RNAcentral lists this long non-coding RNA (482 nucleotides) under Marmota monax (woodchuck). The stretch from base 43 to 112 matches the Rfam family "tRNA". Lineage: Eukaryota; Metazoa; Chordata; Mammalia; Rodentia; Sciuridae. The record is from RNAcentral.
CUGGCCUUUCUUCAGUGGAUAAUAAAUUUGUAAUGUUGGGCUGUGGCUGUGGCUCAGUGGUAGAGCGCUUGUCUAUCAUGCAUGAGACACUGGGUUUGACCCCAGCACCACAUAAAUAAAUAAAUAAAUAGGUAGAUACAUAGAUAAAGGUAUUAUGUCCAUCUGCAACUAAAAAUUUUUUUUUAAAAAUUGUGAUAAAAACAGCAGUUAUAAGCUAAGUUAAAGGUAGAUUCGAGUUCUAAAUAUGAAGAUCCCAAAUUUUAACAUUUUAGGAAAAGGAAUGAGCACACACACACCUGCUUUAUAUGCACAAGCUGUCCCUGGCAGGACACAUGGGGCCUCCAAGACAGGGGAGCUGUUGUCAGGGAUGGUGGGGACAUACUUCAUCCCUCUCCAUUCAGACACUGUGGCAUGUACGUGUAUUAACAUUCUAGAGGGAAUUAAAGGACUGGGGAUGUGUCUCAAGCAGUAGCGCGCUCACC